Molecule: long non-coding RNA, 475 nt
Organism: Pan paniscus (pygmy chimpanzee)
Lineage: Eukaryota; Metazoa; Chordata; Mammalia; Primates; Hominidae
Source: Ensembl
UGAGUUGAGGGUUUCCAAAGAUCUAAAAUCAGCAGCUGCUAACUCGACAUGUGACUCAGAGUAAACCACUUUCCUGGUAGGUCUCACUUUGCCCAAAAAUGUAAUAAGAGGAUCUCUUGGGACUCUUGGCUUGAAUACUGUUGGGUUGUGAGUAAGCUGGACUCAUUUCAGGACUCUGAGCAGAGUUCUCAGGUCUGUAAGCCAAGCCACUUCUGUUUCUCUUUGGGUUGCUAUAAAGUACAGACGAUUCUACCAACCUUGACACAAAUGCCCAGCUGCCCCCAGUUCAGUGCCACAGAGAAAAGCCUUGCAGAACAGGUUGAGUUUGUAGAUGGGCAUGCGGUAGACGGUAUCAUCUCUUCUCUAUCAAUGACUUGGGUGAUACUUCUGGCAACAAAACAGACAGUGAUGUUCAGUGAAGGUCUGGGCCUUCCAAUUAUUCACUGAAAUAAUGAAUUCCUGCUACUCUGAUGGC